RNAcentral lists this ribosomal RNA (200 nucleotides) under uncultured bacterium. RNAcentral's name for it is "partial 16S ribosomal RNA". It matches the Rfam family "Bacterial small subunit ribosomal RNA", at positions 8 to 208 of the family's 1533-position model. The record is from RNAcentral.
AGAGUUUGAUCCUGGCUCAGGACGAACGCUGGCGGCGUGCUUAACACAUGCAAGUCGAGCGGUAAGGCCUCUUCGGGGGUACACGAGCGGCGAACGGGUGAGUAACACGUGGGUGACCUGCCUUUAGCUCUGGGAUAAGCCUGGGAAACCGGGUCUAAUACCGGAUAGGACCCGCUCUUGCAUGGGGGUGGGUGGAAAGU